RNAcentral lists this ribosomal RNA (808 nucleotides) under uncultured bacterium. RNAcentral's name for it is "bacterial SSU rRNA". It matches the Rfam family "Bacterial small subunit ribosomal RNA", at positions 8 to 810 of the family's 1533-position model. The record is from RNAcentral.
AGAGUUUGAUCAUGGCUCAGAACGAACGCUGGCGGCGUGGCUAAGGCAUGCAAGUCGAACGGACCCCUGGAUGGGUAACUUGAAAGGGAGUCAGUGGCGAACGGGUGAGUAAUGAAUGGGUAACGUCCCCCGGACUCAGGGAUAGCGGCGGGCCGAAAGGUCCUUUGCGAAAGUGUCGGUAAUACCUGAUGACCCCGCGUGGUCGCAUGACCGUGCGGGCAAAGCUCCGGCGGUCCGGGAUCGGCCCAUUUCCUAUCAGCUAGUUGGUGAGGUAACGGCUCACCAAGGCUGCGACGGGUACCGGGUGUGAGAGCAUGACCCGGCACAUCGGAACUGAGACACGGUCCGGACACCUACGGGUGGCUGCAGCAACGAAUAUUCCGCAAUGGGCGAAAGCCUGACGGAGCGACGCCGCGUGCAGGAUGAAGUCUUUCGGGAUGUAAACUGCUGUCGGGGGUCAGAAAAACACUGAUCAGCCCCACAGGAAGCCAUGGCUAACUCUGUGCCAGCAGCCGCGGUAAUACAGAGAUGGCAAGCGUUGUUCGGAAUCACUGGGCUUAAAGCGCGUGUAGGCGGAGCGAUGGGUGCCUUGUGAAAUCCCCCGGCUCAACCGGGGAAUGGCUCGGCAAACCGGCGCUCUUGAGGCAGGUAGAGGUAACUGGAACCAUUGGUGGAGCGGUGAAAUGCGUAGAGAUCAAUGGGAACGCCGGUGGCGAAAGCGAGUUACUGGGCCUGUUCUGACGCUGAGACGCGAAAGCGUGGGUAGCAAACAGGAUUAGAUACCCUGGUAGUCCACGCCGUAAACGAU